AAGCAGCAGGCGCGCAAAUUACCCACUCCCGGCACGGGGAGGUAGUGACGAAAAAUAACGAUACGGGACUCAUCCGAGGCCCCGUAAUCGGAAUGAGUACACUUUAAAUCCUUUAACGAGGAUCAAUUGGAGGGCAAGUCUGGUGCCAGCAGCCGCGGUAAUUCCAGCUCCAAUAGCGUAUAUUAAAGUUGUUGCGGUUAAAAAGCUCGUAGUUGAAUCUGUGUGCCACGCUGUCGGUUCAUCGCUCGCGAUGUUUAACUGACAUGAUUGUGGGACGUCCUGCCGGUGGGCUUAGCUCUUCGGAGCGGUCCAACUAAUAUCCCAUCGCGGUGCUCUUCAUUGAGUGUCGAGGUGGGCCGGUACGUUUACUUUGAACAAAUUAGAGUGCUCAAAGCAGGCUAUUUUCGCCUGAAUACUGUGUGCAUGGAAUAAUGGAAUAGGACCUCGGUUCUAUUUUGUUGGUUUUCGGAACCCCGAGGUAAUGAUUAAUAGGGACAGAUGGGGGCAUU
RNAcentral lists this ribosomal RNA (509 nucleotides) under Diphoropria sp. M65. RNAcentral's name for it is "SSU rRNA". It matches the Rfam family "Eukaryotic small subunit ribosomal RNA", at positions 423 to 892 of the family's 1831-position model. Lineage: Eukaryota; Metazoa; Arthropoda; Insecta; Hymenoptera; Diapriidae. The record is from RNAcentral.